RNAcentral lists this long non-coding RNA (745 nucleotides) under Meleagris gallopavo (turkey). RNAcentral describes it as "lncRNA (ENSMGAG00000019789.1)". Lineage: Eukaryota; Metazoa; Chordata; Aves; Galliformes; Phasianidae. The record is from RNAcentral.
UUUUUAGUGGAGAGUAUCUUUGGAAGUUUUCCUUAGCAGGACUCUUCCCAUAUGGAUGAUGAUGCACAGACUAUGCCUCCACCUGAAUUAUCAUAGAAGUAAGGAGAUAGGGUGGUACAAAUCUGAUGAAGGAAGCUGGUGUUUGAGUCAAGCCAUGUCAGUCAAUUUCCUUCCUUAGAUCAGAGCUGGGAUCUCUGAAGUGUAUACCACACUGAGCUUCCUGCAGUCAUAAAACUGGAUCUGCCACUGUCAUUCCCCUGUAGCAGAAAUGAGAAAAAUGGUAAUAAGUGUAAAUUUUUGUGGCUGUCAGUUCUAGUUUUUCUGGGGGGGAAACACCUAAUAAUGCAACCACUUAGAGUUUUUUGUAUGAAAUAAUUAGGAAGUGUGCGUGUGUUAUCUUUGAGUAUUGCUACCCAUAUAUGGCAUGUUGUUAAAAUGCUUUUUUUGGUUUGCUGAGCUGGGUAUCACAGCACUACACUAGGGGAAAACCAGCGUAACCCACUUUGACUUAGGAUGGCCAGUUUCACUCAUUAAGGCUGCUACUUUGUUUUUAUUUUGCUCUAAGCACAUACCUGGGGUGGAUCUUCUGAUAGCAAACCUAAUGUUUUUACAUUAGGAGACUGGUAGGUAGGAUGUUUGCAGUCCGUGUACAGCCUGUAAGGGUUUUAGAAUGAAGAGUAAAUAACAUGAUAUUGAAAUUCUUGUGAGACAUUUAUAGUUUAAUUUAAAACAAAAAUUAAAGCAG